CAAACCCCCCCCCCCUCCCCCACAUAAUAUAAACUAGAGAACACUAAAAACAUACAUUUAACACAUACUAAAGAAACAACAGAGAAGGAAGGGACAGACUGUGGGCGAGGCAGCCAUUGCUGACGCCACUGGGU
Long non-coding RNA from Amblyraja radiata (thorny skate), 134 nucleotides. RefSeq lists it as uncharacterized. The record is from RefSeq and is a predicted model, not a curated record. NCBI's taxonomy places the organism in Eukaryota, Metazoa, Chordata, Chondrichthyes, Rajiformes, Rajidae. The transcript is spliced from 3 exons.